GAGGCGGAGCGCCUGGGGGGAAGGAAGGGGAGAGGCGGCUUCCACGACGGCUUCAGAUGGGCCUCUAUGAAGAUGAGGAGGGUUGGCCGGAUCUGGACCGUGCGUGUAUGAUAGAGAUUAGAGACCCUGCAAAUAUUUCCAUGCUUGAUCCGAUUGAGAGGGUUGCUCUUGGGAUGGUGGGUAGUUCCUCGAAUUCUCCACCAUUGCAAGUUCAAGAGUUUCAGGAUGAGGAGGGAAGAAUAGAAACAAUGGCCGAUGAUCAAAUGUAUUUAAUGUUGGGCUUGGGGAAUGAGGAUGAAAGGGCCAAGAUGGCUGCUCCAGCAAAUGCAACACAGGAAGACCUCCGCGGAAGCCAAGAAAGAAUGUUACCAAAGCACGCCCAACUGAACCGUCCACACCACCAAGGUCCACUGCAGCUCCAGAUGUAAUUUUGCAUGACAGUCCGGGAGUGAUGACAAGAAGGCAACUUGCAAUGAUUCAUGGAGAGAGCAGCACUUCACAAGCUACCAUGGCCAGUUCACCCCAGACUAAGACGGUAACUUCAAAAAAGCUGCUGAUUCGUGGAGAGAGUAGCACUUCACAAGCUACCAUGGCCAGUUCACCCCAGACUAAGAAGCCAACUUCAAAAAAGCUGACACCAAAGAAGAGGAAGAGACAUUAACUUGCAUGUCUGAUGAGAGAAUUUAUUUUGGUCUGUUUGAAUGAAUUGCUCGAGUUUAGUUAUGAAUUAUGUGUUUGAACUAUUCAACCUAGCUGGUUGAGAUGUAUGUCAACUGUGUGUGUGAUAGACUUGUGCUUGCAAGGAUCCGAACAACUUGUGUGUGAAUCCUGUUUCGUUUAUGAACUAGUGUUGCUCUAAUGUAGAUGUUGUAGCGUAGAAAUAUUUUUGUUAAAAUAUCUUGUGGCUGUCGAUUUUGGUUCAGGCGCA
This is a long non-coding RNA of Panicum virgatum (switchgrass), 928 nucleotides long. RefSeq lists it as uncharacterized. The transcript has 4 exons. NCBI's taxonomy places the organism in Eukaryota, Viridiplantae, Streptophyta, Magnoliopsida, Poales, Poaceae. The record is from RefSeq and is a predicted model, not a curated record.